Molecule: ribosomal RNA, 440 nt
Filed under: uncultured bacterium
Lineage: Bacteria
Description: partial 16S ribosomal RNA
Rfam family: Bacterial small subunit ribosomal RNA
Source: RNAcentral
CCUACGGGAGGCUGCAGUGGGGGAUAUUGCACAAUGGGGGGAACCCUGAUGCAGCGACGCCGCGUGGGUGAAGAAGCGCCUCGGCGCGUAAAGCCCUGUCAGCAGGGAAGAAAAUGACGGUACCUGACGAAGAAGCCCCGGCUAACUACGUGCCAGCAGCCGCGGUAAUACGUAGGGGGCAAGCGUUAUCCGGAUUUACUGGGUGUAAAGGGGGCGCAGACGGCGUGGGAAGCCGGGAGUGAAAGCCCGGGGCCCAACCCCGGGACUGCUCUUGGAACUGCGUGGCUGGAGUGCAGGAGGGGCAGGCGGAAUUCCUGGUGUAGCGGUGAAAGGCGUAGAUAUCAGGAGGAACACCGGUGGCGAAGGCGGCCUGCUGGACUGCAACUGACGUUGAGGCCCGAAAGCGUGGGGAGCAAACAGGAUGAGAUACCCUAGUAGUC